AAAAUUUGCCAUCUCAAAUGUUGUAGAUGUAGUUCAUAUGAGCAUGAAUAUUGGAGCUAAAAUUUGGUGCCAAGUUUUUGGGAAAAUUCGGCCAAAUCCAAAGGGUGGAUUUUUGGGUUCUUGUUUGACUUGUUAAAAGUGUUUUCAAGUGACUUUUGGAACCCCUAUGUACCCUAGUUUGGUUAUAUGUUAUUUCCCUAAAGUUUGAAUGGUUUUGGGAUGUUUUGGGUGAAAAAAUGUGCAUGGAAAAAUUUUGGGUUUUUCAUGAGUGUUCUUCAUUGUUCUUGACAUUUUUGCCAAGAACAAAAAGGUUUGUGUUUUGAUUCAAAGUUUUGAUUUAUUUCAUAAAGUUUUUGUUUUAUGUUUAUCAAAUGAUUUAAUGUGUUAGAUAUUUGUUUAAAUGGUGUAAGAGAUGUAAGAGAUAUUAUGGUGGGUGUGAAAGGAUUAAUUUCCUUUCACACACACCACUUGCAUCACUUGCAUGCUUUAUGUCAAAACUCACAAAUCAACACACACAUCACCCCUUUUCUCUUCCAAAACCGGCCCUCCCUCAAGUGGGAGUACUUUUGGGGCUUUUAUGCAAUUACAUAAAGUUUUGAUACUUUUGUGUAUUUGCACUUUAGCCCAAAAGUUUACGUUUUUACGUUUAGGUCCAAAAAUGCUAAAGGACAAAUUGUUUUGCUCCUUUAAUGAAGUUUUUGCAUUGUUUACAUUUUGGGUUCUAGUUGUAAUUACAUGAAGUAGUGGACUUUUGUGUUUUUACAAAGUGACCCCAAAGUUUUGCAAUAUAGCCCAAAAGUUGAGGUUAAUUGCUUUAUGGCCCAAAAAGUUGUGGUUAUUGCAUAUUGGCCCAAAUUAAGUAGAGAACAAAAUUGUUUUGUCUCUUUAAAUG
Molecule: long non-coding RNA, 892 nt
Filed under: Malus domestica (apple)
Lineage: Eukaryota; Viridiplantae; Streptophyta; Magnoliopsida; Rosales; Rosaceae
Description: long non-coding RNA (MDOM_LNC007705)
Source: RNAcentral